This 506-nucleotide ribosomal RNA is filed under the name uncultured microorganism. RNAcentral describes it as "bacterial SSU rRNA". It matches the Rfam family "Bacterial small subunit ribosomal RNA", at positions 9 to 524 of the family's 1533-position model. The record is from RNAcentral.
GAGUUUGAUCCUGGCUCAGGACGAACGCUGGCGGCGUGCCUAACACAUGCAAGUCGAGCGGAGACAGUGAGUAGCUUGCUAUGAGCUGUUUUAGCGGCGGACGGGUGAGUAACGCGUGAGCAACCUUUCCAGACAGGGGAAUAACACACCGAAAGGUGUACUAAUACCGCAUAAGACCACGGGAUCACAUGGUUCUGGGGUAAAAGAUUUAUCGGUUUGGGUGGGCUCGCGCCCGAUUAGGUAGUUGGUGAGGUAACGGCCCACCAAGCCGACGAUCGGUAGCCGACCUGAGAGGGUGAUCGGCCACAUUGGGACUGAGACACGGCCCAAACUCCUACGGGAGGCAGCAGUGGGGAAUAUUGGGCAAUGGGGGAACCCGUGACCCAGCAACGCCGCGUGGAGGAAGAAGGUUUUCGGUAUCGUAAACUCCUGUCCUUGGAGACGAGUAGAAGACGGUAUCAAGGAGGAAGCCCGGCUAACUACGUGCCAGCAGCCGCCGCAGUAAU